RNAcentral lists this long non-coding RNA (545 nucleotides) under Taeniopygia guttata (zebra finch). Its description in RNAcentral is "lncRNA (ENSTGUG00000022604.1)". The record is from RNAcentral. Lineage: Eukaryota; Metazoa; Chordata; Aves; Passeriformes; Estrildidae.
CAGGCAGCCACUGUGGUGAUGGGCACCACCCUACUGCCACCAUGCCACAGGGGCUGGAGCCUCCCAGGCAAGGAGAGGCCACAUGGGCCACCCUGCCAGCACAGAGCAUCACAGGGAGACACACAGGGAUAGGGGACGGUGCUGGGCUCUGGAGCCUUUGGCACAGCAGGGAUGCUGCUCCAGCCUGGAGCAGGACUGCAGAAGAUCAUUUCAUGAGAUUGAGAAGAGUGGGGAAUCAGAGUGGCACAAGCUAUUCAAACUAUAGGCGUAGCACCAAUAUAUUCAGUGGCAUAAUAUCUGGAGGUCAUGCUGAAUUGUCUGUUCACUAAAAGCCAACAUGAUACUGUCCCCACUCCUUGUCAGAAGGAGCACACCGAGCUGUGUCCUAGAAUUUCUACUGCUCUCCUGAUCCAGCUCACAACCCUGAGGUCAAAAGGAGCUUGACCUUCUCAUACAGCCUCAGAAACCAUCUUCUCAAGGAAACAAAGAUGCUGAACUAAGUAAUAAACCUGACCAAGCUGGACUUAUUCACUAUAUAAUUUGUG